Molecule: ribosomal RNA, 253 nt
Filed under: uncultured bacterium
Lineage: Bacteria
Description: partial 16S ribosomal RNA
Rfam family: Bacterial small subunit ribosomal RNA
Source: RNAcentral
UACGGAGGGUGCAAGCGUUGUCCGGAAUCACUGGGCGUAAAGGGCGCGUAGGCGGCCUGGUAAGUAGGGGGUGAAAUCCUGCGGCUUAACCGCAGGGCUGCCUUCUAAACUGUCAGGCUUGAGCACGGUAGAGGCAGAUGGAAUUCCCGGCGUAGCGGUGGAAUGCGUAGAGAUCGGGAAGAACAUCAGUGGCGAAGGCGGUCUGCUGGGCCGUUGCUGACGCUGAGGCGCGACAGCGUGGGGAGCAAACAGG